GGGGGUAUAGCUCAGCUGGGAGAGCAGCAGACUGAAGUUCAGGUGAACCAAUCUUAUGCACCUCAUUCUGAAGGUCCCGCGUUCGAUCCGCGGUACCCCCA
Moniliophthora roreri is the source of this 101-nucleotide non-coding RNA. Lineage: Eukaryota; Fungi; Basidiomycota; Agaricomycetes; Agaricales; Marasmiaceae. The record is from Rfam.